RNAcentral lists this ribosomal RNA (377 nucleotides) under Klebsiella pneumoniae. RNAcentral's name for it is "partial 23S ribosomal RNA". It matches the Rfam family "Bacterial large subunit ribosomal RNA", at positions 1396 to 1772 of the family's 2925-position model. Lineage: Bacteria; Pseudomonadati; Pseudomonadota; Gammaproteobacteria; Enterobacterales; Enterobacteriaceae. The record is from RNAcentral.
GCGAGGCCGAAAGGCGUAGUCGAUGGGAAACAGGUUAAUAUUCCUGUACUUGGUGUUACUGCGAAGGGGGGACGGAGAAGGCUAUGUUAGCCGGGCGACGGUUGUCCCGGUUUAAGCAUGUAGGCUGGUUAUCCAGGCAAAUCCGGAUAACCAAGGCUGAGGUGUGAUGACGAGGCACUACGGUGCUGAAGUAACAAAUGCCCUGCUUCCAGGAAAAGCCUCUAAGCAUCAGGUAACAUCAAAUCGUACCCCAAACCGACACAGGUGGUCAGGUAGAGAAUACCAAGGCGCUUGAGAGAACUCGGGUGAAGGAACUAGGCAAAAUGGUGCCGUAACUUCGGGAGAAGGCACGCUGGUGUGUAGGUGAAGUCCCUGCG